This 439-nucleotide ribosomal RNA is filed under the name uncultured bacterium. RNAcentral's name for it is "partial 16S ribosomal RNA". It matches the Rfam family "Bacterial small subunit ribosomal RNA", at positions 339 to 795 of the family's 1533-position model. The record is from RNAcentral.
CUACGGGGUGCUCCAGUGGGGAAUAUUGCACAAUGGGGGAAACCCUGAUGCAGCAACGCCGCGUGGAGGAUGACGCAUUUCGGUGUGUAAACUCCUUUUAUAUCCCAAGAUAAUGACGGUAGGAUAUGAAUAAGCACCGGCUAACUCCGUGCCAGCAGCCGCGGUAAUACGGAGGGUGCAAGCGUUACUCGGAAUCACUGGGCGUAAAGGAUGCGUAGGCUGGAAGUCAAGUCAUAAGUGAAAUCCCACGGCUCAACCGUGGAACUGCUUGUGAAACUGGCUUCCUAGAAUGUGGGAGAGGUAGAUGGAAUUAGUGGUGUAGGGGUAAAAUCCGUAGAGAUCACUAGGAAUACCGAUUGCGAAGGCGAUCUACUGGAACACUAUUGACGCUGAGGCAUGAAAGCGUGGGGAGCAAACAGGAUUAGAUACCCGUGUAGUC